RNAcentral lists this ribosomal RNA (432 nucleotides) under uncultured bacterium. RNAcentral's name for it is "partial 16S ribosomal RNA". It matches the Rfam family "Bacterial small subunit ribosomal RNA", at positions 29 to 506 of the family's 1533-position model. The record is from RNAcentral.
AACGAAUGCUGGCGGCAUGCCUAACACAUGCAAGUCGAACGAGACCUUCGGGUCUAGUGGCGCACGGGUGCGUAACGCGUGGGAACCUGCCCUUAGGUUCGGAAUAACUCCCCGAAAGGGGUGCUAAUACCGGAUAAUGUCUUCGGACCAAAGAUUUAUCGCCUUUGGAUGGGCCCGCGUUGGAUUAGCUAGUUGGUAGGGUAAAAGCCUACCAAGGCGACGAUCCAUAGCUGGUCUGAGAGGAUGAUCAGCCACACUGGGACUGAGACACGGCCCAGACUCCUACGGGAGGCAGCAGUGGGGAAUAUUGGACAAUGGGCGAAAGCCUGAUCCAGCAAUGCCGCGUGAGUGAUGAAGGCCUUAGGGUUGUAAAGCUCUUUUACCCGGGAUGAUAAUGACAGUACCGGGAGAAUAAGCUCCGGCUAACUCCGU